Molecule: ribosomal RNA, 224 nt
Filed under: uncultured Vexilliferidae
Lineage: Eukaryota; Discosea; Flabellinia; Dactylopodida; Vexilliferidae
Description: partial Bacterial large subunit ribosomal RNA
Rfam family: Bacterial large subunit ribosomal RNA
Source: RNAcentral
AGUUUGACUGGGGCGGUCGCCUCCUAAACUGUAACGGAGGCGCGCUAUGGUUCCCUCAGGCUGAUUGGAAACCAGCCGCAAGAGUGUAAAGGCAAAAGGGAGCUUGACUGCGAGAGCGACAGCUCGAGCAGGGACGAAAGUCGGUCUUAGUGAUCUGGUGGCACCGUAUGGAAGGGCCAUCACUCAUCGGAUAAAAGGUACUCCGGGGAUAACAGGCUUAUCGC